UGAACAACAGAGAAAAAGAAAGGCCCACAACAUCACUUUCACGCUUUUUUCUGACUACAUCUCCAUGUAAUUUCAAUGUAACAAAUCGGCCGGAUAAUUGGGAUGCUUCGAAAGCAAGGAAGAAUUUCAUUUCUCAGAUAGAUAAUGAGAUUCAAAGAAGACCAGAUUUCAACUGGAGAGAAAUUGAUUUGGUCUUCUUCCCAGUUUGUGCAAAUUUCCAUUACUAUCUUGUAGUAUAUUGGAUGAAGAAAAACACCAUUGAGAUAAUAGAUAACAGCAAGCCACAUAAAGAUAUGGAUCCGUUCGAGAAGUAUGA
Salvia splendens (bonfire salvia) is the source of this 316-nucleotide long non-coding RNA. RefSeq lists it as uncharacterized. The transcript is spliced from 3 exons. NCBI's taxonomy places the organism in Eukaryota, Viridiplantae, Streptophyta, Magnoliopsida, Lamiales, Lamiaceae. The record is from RefSeq and is a predicted model, not a curated record.